GUGGGGUCUUUGUUGUUUCGUUUUGUAAUAAAUCUUGCUGCUGCUCAGUCUUUGAGUCCCCGCUGCGUUUAACACUCACCGCAAAGGUGUGCAGCUUCACUCCUGAAGCUAACGAGACCACGAAUCCACCUGGAAGGACAAACAACUCCGGACGCAGCUGCCUUUAAUAGCUGUAACACUCACCGUGAAGGUCUGCAGCUUCACUCCUGAAAUCAGUGAGAUCGCGAACCCGCCAAAAGGAAGAAACUCCAGACACACCAUCUUUAAGAACCGUAACGCUCACCGCGAGGGUCCCUGGCUUCAUUCCUGAAGUUAGCGAGACAACCUACCUAUUCCAGACACAAAACCACCCGAAAACGUGAGUUUCUAAAGGAUGAGCUAGAAAUGGAAUAUAAGACCAUGGAAAUGGUGCUAAUGCUGAUGGCUCCACACGUCCAGAGCCGAUGUUUCAGGGCGGCUCAGGCGAGACUUUCUCUUCUAUUCCGUUGGUCUAUCUAAAAAGCAAAAUUUCAAAUACUGACACCGAUAGAUGAAAACGCUUUCGCUUCUUCCCCGUUUCAUCCAGUUGGGGGCUAAGUGUCCUUCGGUUUGGACUGUGCAGCUCGGGUCACCUUCUCUCUGUGGAACAGCAAGUGAAGAAAGAGGCAGAGCCAUGUGUUCCAAACCAUGGAGACAGUUGAGAAAGUGGGAACCCAUUACUCCCCAAGCCCGGCCAGCAAACCUCACCGAUGUAACAGAUAAGCACUUCCGGCAGGUGGGGCUGACGCUGGCCAGGACACAGCCCUCUCUCUCACAGCAGUGUUCAGGUUGUUUGUGCACAAAAUUUCACAAAGGUCAGAGCUCGUCUCUCCAAAGAGAUAAGCUUUGCGGUUAACCUGAAUUCACUGAACUGGGAUUUAUUAUUAUUAUUAUUCUAUUUUACCUCUAACAGAAGUUUGAGAUCUGUGUAAGUUUCGUUCCUCUCUCUGAUUCGAGGGGAGAUGCCCAGCGCGCCGUUUGGGGGAGAGAACCUGGCGUCCUUUCCUUCAUUUCAGGUACCCAGCUCCUAGCAAAUGGGUCUUCCUCCCGGGUUCUCUGGGGUAAAGGAUUUGCUGAGAAGGAGCUGAAUGUUGCGGCUGCGCUUCUCAGACAUGUGCUCAGAGCCAGGUAUCCUCUCGCUCUUUCUUUCAACUGGUAGCCAGAAAAUACGGGCUGAGCAUCAGGGAUUCUCAGCCUCGUCAAGCUCCAGCCCUGCCUGUUGUGACAGACAUUUCCUGAUGCCUUUUGCUCUCUGGAAUGAAGGUCAUGGGCAGUAUUACCCACACAGCCAUUCAAAAUCAAUCGGCUUCGUGACCUGUUGUGAAAGGAUGGUGAUGGCCGUGCCAGCAUGUGACAUGCACUCGGAUGCCUGUGCACACAGGUGCACCUUCCAGAAGGUGAGGUUGGCCCGAGUGCCCACCGCCAUGUGAGUGUGCUGCUGCACAAUGACCAGUUGCUGGAAUGUUCUGAACAGAGCCCAGUGCCACCCACUUUGAUGUGCGCCAUUGUCAGAAAAAUCAGAGUGCGUUAAAUUCCUGCAAAAAUUC
Molecule: long non-coding RNA, 1565 nt
Organism: Nomascus leucogenys (northern white-cheeked gibbon)
Lineage: Eukaryota; Metazoa; Chordata; Mammalia; Primates; Hylobatidae
Exons: 2
Source: RefSeq, a predicted model, not a curated record